AAAAAUAUUUUGAUUCACUCUUUAAUUUUCAUGGAGAUUGAUAUUGAACAUCAAAUUGUUUGAUCGAUCGCUUUGUGGGGUGAAAGAGGGUGAAACUCACUGACAAUGAAUAAAAUUAGGGUUUUAAGAAAAUUUAUAUAAAAGGACAAUUUUGGUAUUAUAAAUUUUUUUUAAGAAAAUUUGGGUGUAACCAGAAAAAUAUGGGGUGUAAAUAGAAAAACUCA
RNAcentral lists this long non-coding RNA (224 nucleotides) under Medicago truncatula (barrel medic). RNAcentral's name for it is "long non-coding RNA (MTRU_LNC002339)". Lineage: Eukaryota; Viridiplantae; Streptophyta; Magnoliopsida; Fabales; Fabaceae. The record is from RNAcentral.